GGAUCAUUAUCGUGGGGCUCCGGCCCCGUCGAGAUAGAACCCUUGCCUUUUCGAGUACCGUCCGUUUCCUCGGCAGGCCCGCCUGCCAAUGGGGACCCCAAACAAACCCUUUUUGUACCUGUACCAGUCUGAACAACAAACAAAAAUUAAAACUUUCAACAACGGAUCUCUUGGUUCUGGCAUCGAUGAAGAACGCAGCGAAAUGCGAUAAGUAGUGUGAAUUGCAGAAUUCAGUGAAUCAUCGAAUCUUUGAACGCACAUUGCGCCCUUUGGUAUUCCUUAGGGCAUGCCUGUUCGAGCGUCAUUUACAACUUCAAGCUCCGCUUGGUGUUGGGUGUCUGUCCCGCCCCCCGGGGUGCGGACUCGCCUCAAAUUCAUUGGCGGCCGGUACAUUGGCUUCGAGCGCAGCAGAAACGCGAACUCGAGGACGGUGGAUCCGCUCCCAGAAGCCAACCCCAUAUUUUGACCUCGGAUCAGGUAGGGAUACCCGCUGAACUUAAGCAUAUCAAUAAGCGGAGGAAAAGAAACCAACAGGGAUUGCCCUAGUAACGGCGAGUGAAGCGGCAACAGCUCAAAUUUGAAAUCUGGCCCUUUCAGGGUCCGAGUUGUAAUUUGUAGAGGGUGCUUUGGCGUUGGCUGUGGUCUAAGUUCCUUGGAACAGGACGUCGCAGAGGGUGAGAAUCCCGUAUGUGGCCGCCAGCCUCCGCCGUGUAAAGCCCCUUCGACGAGUCGAGUUGUUUGGGAAUGCAGCUCUAAAUGGGAGGUAAAUUUCUUUUAAAGCUAAAUACUGGCCAGAGACCGAUAGCGCACAAGUAGAGUGAUCGAAAGAUGAAAAGCACUUUGGAAAGAGAGUCAAAAAGCACGUGAAAUUGUUGAAAGGGAAGCGCUUGCAGCCAGACUUGCCUGCGGAGGCUCAUCCGGGCUCACGCCCGGUGCACUCCUCCGUGGGCAGGCCAGCAUCAGUCCCGGCGGUCGGAUAAAUGCCCGCGACAUGUACCUCUCCUCGGGGAGGACUUAUAGGGUGGGUGGCAUGCGACCAGCUGGGAUUGAGGUCCGCGC
Molecule: ribosomal RNA, 1059 nt
Filed under: Preussia sp. (in: ascomycete fungi)
Lineage: Eukaryota; Fungi; Ascomycota; Dothideomycetes; Pleosporales; Sporormiaceae
Description: eukaryotic LSU rRNA
Rfam family: Eukaryotic large subunit ribosomal RNA (bases 464-1059)
Source: RNAcentral